RNAcentral lists this ribosomal RNA (422 nucleotides) under uncultured bacterium. RNAcentral's name for it is "bacterial SSU rRNA". It matches the Rfam family "Bacterial small subunit ribosomal RNA", at positions 356 to 775 of the family's 1533-position model. The record is from RNAcentral.
GAGGAAUAUUGGUCAAUGGGCGCAAGCCUGAACCAGCCAUCCCGCGUGAAGGAAGAAUGCGCUACGCGUUGCAAACUUCUUUUCCAGGGGGAGAAUUUUCCUGUCGAGACAGGGAUUGACGGUACCCUGGGAAUAAGCAUCGGCUAACUCCGUGCCAGCAGCCGCGGUAAUACGGAGGAUGCGAGCGUUAUCCGGAUUUAUUGGGUUUAAAGGGUGCGUAGGCGGAUUGAUAAGUCAGUGGUGAAAUUCUGCAGCUUAACUGUAGACUUGCCGUUGAUACUGUUAGUCUUGAGUGUGGUCAAGGCAGGCGGAAUGUGUAAUGUAGCGGUGAAAUGCUUAGAUAUUACACAGAACACCGAUUGCGAAGGCAGCUUGCUGGGUCAUUACUGACGCUGAUGCACGAAAGCGUGGGGAUCAAACAG